ACGGAAGGCAGCAGUGGGGGAUAUUGCACAAUGGGGGGAACCCUGAUGCAGCGACGCCGCGUGGGUGAUGAAGCAUUUCGGUGUGAAAAGCCCUAUCAGCAGGGAAGACGGUGACGGUACCUGCAGAAGAAGCCCCGGCUAACUACGUGCCAGCAGCCGCGGUAAUACGUAGGGGGCAAGCGUUAUCCGGAUUUACUGGGUGUAAAGGGAGUGUAGACGGCUAAGGAAGUCAGAAGUGAAAACUGCGGGCUCAACCCGGAGACUGCUUUUGAAACUCCAUAGCUGGAGUACCGGAGGGGCAGGCGGAAUUCCUGGUGUAGCGGUGAAAUGCGUAGAUAUCAGGAAGAACACCGGUGGCGAAGGCGGCCUGCUGGACGGUAACUGACGUUGAGGCUCGAGAGCGUGGGGAGCAAACAGGAUUAGAUACCCUGGUA
RNAcentral lists this ribosomal RNA (434 nucleotides) under uncultured Lachnospiraceae bacterium. Its description in RNAcentral is "partial 16S ribosomal RNA". It matches the Rfam family "Bacterial small subunit ribosomal RNA", at positions 341 to 792 of the family's 1533-position model. The record is from RNAcentral. Lineage: Bacteria; Bacillati; Bacillota; Clostridia; Lachnospirales; Lachnospiraceae.